Molecule: ribosomal RNA, 225 nt
Filed under: uncultured bacterium
Lineage: Bacteria
Description: partial 16S ribosomal RNA
Rfam family: Bacterial small subunit ribosomal RNA
Source: RNAcentral
UACGGAGGGUGCAAGCGUUUAUCCGGAUUCACUGGGUUUAAAGGGUGCGUAGGUGGGCAGGUAAGUCAGUGGUGAAAUCUCCGGGCUUAACCCGGAACUGCCGUUGAUACUAUCUGUCUUGAAUGUAGUGGAGGUGAGCGGAAUAUGUCAUGUAGCGGUGAAAUGCUUAGAUAUGACAUAGAACACCCCAUUGCGAAGGCAGCUCGCUACACUAUUAUUGACACU